Molecule: transfer RNA, 69 nt
Filed under: Ictidomys tridecemlineatus (thirteen-lined ground squirrel)
Lineage: Eukaryota; Metazoa; Chordata; Mammalia; Rodentia; Sciuridae
Description: Spermophilus tridecemlineatus (thirteen-lined ground squirrel) tRNA
Rfam family: tRNA
About the family: Transfer RNA (tRNA) molecules are approximately 80 nucleotides in length.
Source: Rfam by way of RNAcentral
GGGGUUGUGGCUCAGUGGUAGAGCGCUCGCCUAGCAUGUGCAAGGUCCUGGGUUCGAUCCUCAGCACCA